Molecule: unclassified non-coding RNA, 569 nt
Filed under: Hevea brasiliensis (rubber tree)
Lineage: Eukaryota; Viridiplantae; Streptophyta; Magnoliopsida; Malpighiales; Euphorbiaceae
Source: RNAcentral
CAAAAAAAAAAAAUCUUUCUGUCAUCAUUCCUCGGAUCAGGUCCCCAGUUGGAAAAUUAUUUGGCAGCUCAAAUGAAAAUCUCUAUUUUUACUCUCUAAAUGUUUGUUUUAGGUAUUUGUGUGUGUGAAAGUAUCCAGAAUUGGGGUUUUUUUAUUGCAUUUGCAUGUGAGUUUACAGUUAAUUGAAGCUUCUAGUUGAAAUUGGGAACUUAAUUCAAUGUAUAAUUGAUGUUGAUCAUAGGCGUUUGACUUAGAACUGUUCAUGCUCAUAGAGAAUAUGGUUUAACCCAAAACCAAAUAAAGUUGCAUGCUUCCUGUACAAUUUGAUAAAAAUGGUUUUCUUCUAUAAUUUCAUGGUUGGUGUCUAAAAUUUGGAAACCGAAUGGGCAGUUCAGGUGAGAAUUUGGUUAUGACCUACUUGACUCAACGUAUAUGUUAUGUAGUCCUAUUGAAAAUGUUGAGCUCAAAAAUAAAAUGCUUAUUACUGGGGAACGUUUGAUUUUUUAGAGGACGCAUUCCUAAAACAUUUCCAUACCUAUUGUACAAACACAUGCCUAGAUCUUGAUGGG